GCUCUUCUUAUCACAUAUCCCAACUGCAGAGAAAAAAAAAGGAAGCAUAGACUGCACAGCCCACCACUGGGAUCUGGACUUCCAAACCCUGUCAGUUUUGUGGGUGAAGAUCAGUUUUGAAGCACAAAGUGUUGAAGACACCAUGGGACCCCAAGCAGAGUCAUUGAUGUAGCACUCAAAUUUGCUGACUGCUGCCUUUGAAAGGCCAUGUGAAGCUGCUCCUAGGGGUCUGAUACAAUGCAGCUCCUGUGUCAGGCCUGACAGCCACACAGGGAUUAUUCAGAUACUGUGGAGCAUUUCAAGUGCUGCCUAAAUGCAUUUGAUUGCCCAAACUGCAGUCUUAGCCUGCAAGUUCAAUCCUACCUGAGGAGACGAGCAUAAGUACCCUUCCAAAAGUGACCCUGCAAAGGACCUGCUGCUUGUGCUUGUAUCACUCAUUCCCCAUGACAGUCCCACCACAGUGACAACCCCGUGUGGCAAGGUUGGAGACAGUCAGAAAUAUCACUGACUCUGAAAGCAACAUGCAGAUUGCAGAUUUUUGGCCCUCACGAGAGCUGCACAUGAGAGGGAUCAAGUCACAUCCCAAUACCCAAGCAACUGUUGUGGGAAUGCGUGGCACUGGCUGCUGGGCAAGCAGGGGCAGCAG
Passer domesticus (house sparrow) is the source of this 646-nucleotide long non-coding RNA. RefSeq lists it as uncharacterized. NCBI's taxonomy places the organism in Eukaryota, Metazoa, Chordata, Aves, Passeriformes, Passeridae. The record is from RefSeq and is a predicted model, not a curated record. The transcript is spliced from 3 exons.